AGAACGAACGCUGGCGGCAUGCCUAACACAUGCAAGUCGAACGCUUUUGGGGCUUCGGUCCCAAAGGAGUGGCGCACGGGUGAGUAGCGCGUGGGAACCUGCCCUGUUGUGGGGGAUAACCGAGGGAAACUUCGGCUAAUACCGCAUACGCCCGGGGGAAACUCCGGGGAAAGAUUUAUCGCAGCAGGAGGGGCCCGCGUCGGAUUAGGUAGUUGGUGGGGUAACGGCCCACCAAGCCUGUGAUCCGUAGCUGGUCUGAGAGGAUGAUCAGCCACACUGGGACUGAGACACGGCCCAGACUCCUACGGGAGGCAGCAGUGGGGAAUAUUGGACAAUGGGCGGCAAGCCUGAUCCAGCAAUGCCGCGUGAGGGAUGAAGCUUCUCGGAGUGUAAACCCCUUUCGACCCGGACGAAAGCCCCGCAAGGGGACUGACGGUACGGGUAUAAGAAGCCCCGGCUAACUACGCGCCAGCAGCCGC
This 479-nucleotide ribosomal RNA is filed under the name uncultured bacterium. RNAcentral describes it as "SSU rRNA". It matches the Rfam family "Bacterial small subunit ribosomal RNA", at positions 26 to 518 of the family's 1533-position model. The record is from RNAcentral.